RNAcentral lists this long non-coding RNA (612 nucleotides) under Oncorhynchus mykiss (rainbow trout). RNAcentral's name for it is "lncRNA (ENSOMYG00000072976.1)". Lineage: Eukaryota; Metazoa; Chordata; Actinopteri; Salmoniformes; Salmonidae. The record is from RNAcentral.
GUUUAUUUCCCUUCAAAUUCCAAUCUGCCACCUUGCCAUUUGGUGUAAUACUUAAAGGCCCGUAGAUGUCCUCCUAGGAUCAUAAAUUAAACUGAGGUAAGCUCCAAGUUGCCUCUUUUUCUGGGUGGCAGUGCAGAAGUCGAUGUGGUGAGAGAUUCAUUCAACCAUAGUGUUGUUAAAUAUGAACAUAAACGCCAUAUUGUGCAUUUAAAUGGUUUCAUUGUUUUGUUAAAGGAAAGGAAAAACCUAAAAGAGGAAGUGCCAAACUAAAACCAAACAAACCAUAAAUAUAUAGAGUAGAAAUAAAUUAUGAAUAAAACCAUGUUCUUCUCCAUCCAUUUUCCUGUCUGUUAAAACCCAUUUUCUAAUACAGGCCAUUUGGUGUUAUUGUCUGUAGGUUCUGGAUCCACUCCCGUGCUGCCCACAGGUCCAGAGGCCCACAGGUCCAGCCUAUAUGUGACUGUAACCCUGAUAUGGUAAGGUUCUGGAUCCACUCCCGUGCUGCCCACAGGUCCAGAGGCCCACAGGUCCAGCCUAUAUGUGACUGUAACCCUGAUAUGGUAAGGUGAGUGAUGGGGUGCUCCUGGAAGUGGGUUAUGAGUAAAUUGUAGG